GAAUGGGUAGAGAAACUGCAGCAAUAAGCAUUCACCUGCAGUUCCUAGUCGUGACUCACCAAGCAGACAGCUGACUACCCCCCUACCUUACCUCACGCCAAUGCGCAUUAGCUCUCAUCAGUCAAAGUGACAAUGUACACCUUUACACACCUAAAAUACAGGGAUAGAUCAUAAAAAAACUAUACAGUACACACACUGCUCUGCAAGAGUGUUUGUUUAAACAUAUUUUGCACACAUUAGCUAGACUAAAAGUCCACUCCCUGUGAUGCUGCAGACCCCAUGCGUGUGGCAUCAUGCUGGAGGUCCAUCUGUCCAUAUGAUACAAAAGAACUACAGCGUUUAAUAAUGGACUCGAUAUGCUACACUGUAACAAAGCAGGAACAAACACACAGCGGUGUCUUUGUACGAAAUCACGCCUUAUCCACUAGUAAGUGCACCAUUCGGAGAGUUUUGCAAUCUUCCGAAAUGGAGAACAACCACAGCACUCGUUGAAUGCUUUGCUCUAGAAACACAGGAGAGCCUGGAGCCUGUCCCAGGGAACUCGGGGCACAAGGAAGGAGUGCCAACCCAUCACAGGGCACAAUCACACACACUCACAGACUACAGACAACUUGGAAAUGACAACCAGUCUACCACACAUGUCUUUGGACUGGAGGAGGAAACCGGAGUACUCGGAGGAACAUGCAAGAUCCACACACACACAGGGCGGAGGCAGGAUUCAAACCCACAACCCUGGAGGUGCCAGAGAGGAAAACUUGGAGCAAAACUGAAAAAUAAAAUACAAAUGACAAUG
Long non-coding RNA from Ictalurus punctatus (channel catfish), 793 nucleotides. RefSeq lists it as uncharacterized. NCBI's taxonomy places the organism in Eukaryota, Metazoa, Chordata, Actinopteri, Siluriformes, Ictaluridae. The record is from RefSeq and is a predicted model, not a curated record. The transcript has 2 exons.